Molecule: ribosomal RNA, 222 nt
Filed under: Vibrio parahaemolyticus
Lineage: Bacteria; Pseudomonadati; Pseudomonadota; Gammaproteobacteria; Vibrionales; Vibrionaceae
Description: partial 16S ribosomal RNA
Rfam family: Bacterial small subunit ribosomal RNA
Source: RNAcentral
AAAUUGAAGAGUUUGGUCAUGGCUCAGAUUGAACGCUGGCGGCAGGCCUAACACAUGCAAGUCGAGCGGAAACGAGUUGUCAGAACCUUCGGGGAACGACAACGGCGUCGAGCGGCGGACGGGUGAGUAAUGCCUAGGAAAUUGCCCUGAUGUGGGGGAUAACCAUUGGAAACGAUGGCUAAUACCGCAUGAUGCCUACGGGCCAAAGAGGGGGACCUUCGG